AUAAAAGUCUACAAUAUCUUAUGGACGUAAUAGCUCCACAUGUUCAUUACAUGGCAACAUUGGAUUUCUGGAAGAAAACAAAUUUACAAGCACAGCAGAUAUCAUAGUGGUAAAGGUGGAACAGAAAGAAAAGCCCUUCUUCUUAGUCUCGGCCUACUUGGCCCAUGACGAAGGCAUACCACCGACCCCGCUCACCAGACUAAUAGAGGAGAACAGAAAAGAAGAUGUCCUAAUAGGGUGUGAUGCAAACGCAAGGCACACCGUAUGGGGUAGCUCCAGCAUAAACACCAGAGAAAUGGACGUAGAAGAAACCCGCAAUAACCCCCCGUCGGUGAGGUCCGCAACAAACCAACCACCCUACACACCCACCAUCAUCAUUUUUCACCACUCAACCGAUCAAAAAGGAUUGUUUAGAUCAGGGUGGAACACAAUUCGUUUUACGCCGGUAAUCUAAACACUUCGCCCUUUUUUUUUGAUCGCCAACUCGUUCCCGUUGAUCCGCCAAUUUACAAGCGUUGAAAAGUUCUGGUCCAAAUUUGGAUUCCCCAUCCUGUCGCGUGUGUGUGUGCAGGACGCAGGAGCAUCAAGAGCAUCAAUAGUGGAUAGUGAACAGUGUAAUAAAAAAAAACCUAAAGAAUUGUAAAUAUUUUGAAAAUCUUGGAAUUUGUAUUGAAAAACUAUUGAAGUUUCGGCCGCAAAGGGAAAUACAUACCUACAGUGACGAGCAAUAUUGUAACACGUUAAAGGCGCUUUUAUUUCAACUAAGUAUAUUUCACCAGUUAGAGUUAAAACUCUAUUUUUUUUGUUUGAAAUGUUGUAUGUGGACAUCAUAUUUUACCUCUACUGUAAAAGUGCUAACAUAAAACAACAAUAAAUUACUGUGAACAGCGAAAUUUAAGAAUAACUAAAAUGUUACAGUUAUGCACGCGUGUCAUGUGAUCUUUUAUUACCGUUAUUUUUUGCAAUUGCGAUAAGCACGCAGGAGUUUUUUAGUUGUUAAGUGAUAAUUGAGUUGUCAAGUAGCAAACGUGACCAUGCAGCCAGAAAAUACGCAGAAAAUUUUAAAAUUAAUAAUGGAGGAGCAAUCUGUGCGUAAAAUAGCAACAGAAUGUAAAGUUAGCCAUAUGACAGUGCACAGGUUAAAACAAAAAUAUUUUAAAACCUCAUCCAAGAAAAAGGGUGGUCGGCCCAGAAAAAUUAACGACCGACAAUGCCGCCAUCUCGCCCAAUUGGUCACUUCGAACAAUGCGGUAACACCCGCGGCAGCUCUUAAAGUGCUAAAUAUCGAAGCAAGUGAGUGGACAGCGCGCCGUUCCUUAAAAAAAAUUGGACUCAAAGCAUCUGAAAAGAAAAAAAAAACCGAUGUUGACAAAAAGACAUGUGCAGCUGCGGCGCGAUUUUGUUGCAAAACAUGAGCAUUGGACUGAAGAAGAUUGGGAUAUGGUAAGUUUAAAACAAAAAAUGUUGAAAUUAUAAAAAUAUUCACUUUAUUUUUUAUUUUAAAGGUAAUAUGGUCUGAUGAAACAAAAAUAAAUCGUUAUUAGUCUGAUGGGCGUUCCUUACUAUACACGGGACCCAAACACGAUUAAACCAAACCAUGUUUCCCAAACUGUAAAACAUGGUGGCGGUUCAAUCAUUGUUUGGGGGUGUAUCACCAAAAACGGUAUAGGUCGUCUGGUACGCAUUAAUGGAAUCAUGCGUAAGGAGCAGUAUCUGACCAUUUUACAACAAAAUUUGGCGAUAGUCAUCGAAAAUUUGGGUCUUGCUGCUGAAAAAGUUAUCUUUCAGCAAGACAAUGACCCGAAGCACACGUCUCGCCUUGUACAAGAUUGGAUAAAACGUCAAAAAUUUUCGACCCUUACAUGGCCCCCUCAAUCACCGGAUAUGAAUCCAAUCGAAAAUUUGUGGAGUCAUGUCAAGGCGCAGCUGGCGAAGUACCCUAAUCCUAAGGGGGUAAAUGAGUUGUGGGAGCGGAAGCAAGAAGUUUGGAAUGCAAUACCCCCCGAUUUUGUAUCGAAAUAUACACAAAGUAUGCCCAACCGGUUGAACGCUUUAAAAAAAGCUAAGGGUUUUUUGACCAAAUAUUAACUUUUUGGUUAUUAUGUUUUAACAUUACAUCGAGUGCAAAACUGUAACAUUGAGCUUUUUUUACUUUAUUACUUUUAAACAUAUU
Long non-coding RNA from Bactrocera neohumeralis, 2173 nucleotides. RefSeq lists it as uncharacterized. The transcript is spliced from 3 exons. The record is from RefSeq and is a predicted model, not a curated record. NCBI's taxonomy places the organism in Eukaryota, Metazoa, Arthropoda, Insecta, Diptera, Tephritidae.